This is a long non-coding RNA of Felis catus (domestic cat), 448 nucleotides long. RefSeq lists it as uncharacterized. The transcript is spliced from 2 exons. The record is from RefSeq and is a predicted model, not a curated record. Lineage: Eukaryota; Metazoa; Chordata; Mammalia; Carnivora; Felidae.
UGACGACUGCCUAACGGGAGCUGCCGCGGUGCCGUCAGCAGCGCGCGCCCCGCCCCCGCGUCUCCAGGGCAACCGUGGCUUUCGAUUGUUACUGUGGGAACCGGAGGUAACAGUCUACAGCCAUGGUCGCCCCGCAGCACGCCCACGCGCCGCACCGCGCUGGGAUCUGCCAGCCCCGGAGGGGGGAGACCAGGAGGAGCAGGAGGAAGCGGGGGCGGCAAGUCAAGAUCGGAUGUAUCUGCCGGGGCGGAGGGAGGACCCCCUCGCUGGGUAGGCAGAAAGCAAGACUAAUCCUUGAACUCAUUUCCUGAUGGAGUCACAGCCUUCCCUCACUCUUCUCCCCACUCGUUCUUCUUCUAUUCCAUGUAGGAUGAUAAGGAUUCCCAAGCCUCAGGAAGCCAGUGUGCUUGUAAAGGUAACCCGGUCAGUAAAGCAUUGUCUGAAUGUA